RNAcentral lists this long non-coding RNA (1233 nucleotides) under Ananas comosus (pineapple). RNAcentral's name for it is "long non-coding RNA (ACOM_LNC028061)". Lineage: Eukaryota; Viridiplantae; Streptophyta; Magnoliopsida; Poales; Bromeliaceae. The record is from RNAcentral.
UAUUUUAUUAUAAUAUGUAACUUAUGGAUUGACUACUAACCCUUAAGUCAGUGAUCAUGCUUGAUUUUGAAUUUAUAUAUAUUUUUUAUCCUAAAAUAAAUCAUACCAUAAUUUAUCCUAUAUUUUAUUGUAUUAAAAUAAAAGCGAAAGAAAUAAAUUAGAGUGGCUUAAAGAUAAGAAAAGAGCGAUACUAACUACCUACGAUGCUCGAACACUCUACUGUCCUGUUGUACUCGCUAAUAUGGUUGAUUUACAAUAGGUGUCCUCACUGGGAUUUAGAGAUUUUAAUUCUCAGUUAAUUUUCUGUAUUACUCGUUUGUUCUUUUUAUCUUUAGAAGCUUUGUUAUAGAAAAUGCAGUUAUUUUCUAUGAAACUAUGCAAUGUAAUUUUAUUGGAGCCUACAAUAAAAUUUUUGUACUUCAUUUCACUUAAUUAAAAAUUUUUAAUAUAAAAAUAUAAAAUAAUAUUUUAUUAGAAAAUACAUUUAUUUCUUAUGAAACUAUGCAAUGUAAUUUUAUUGUAGCCUAAAAUAAAAUUUUUAUACUUCAUUUAAGCCAAUUAAAAUUUUUUAAUAUAAAAAUAUAAAAUAAUAUUUUAUAAUAUUUUAAAACAAUGCUUCUAAAGAUAAAAGGGACAAACGAGUACUGCAGAAAAUUAACUGAGAAUUAAAAUCUCUAUAUCCGAGUGAGGACACCUAUUGUAAAUCAACAAUAUUAGCGAGUACACCAGAACAGUAGAGUGUUCGAGCAUUGUAGGUAGUUUGUAUCGCUCUUUUCUUAUCUUUAAGCCACUCUAAUUAAUUUCUUUCGCUUUUAUUUUAUUACAAUAAAAUAUAGAACAAAUUAUUGUAUGAUUUAUUUUAGGAUAAAAAUAUAUAUAAAUUCAAAAUCAAGCAUGAUCACUAACUUGAGGGUUAGUAGUCAAACCAUAAGUAACAUAUUAUAAUAAAAUAAUUUACAGUCAAGAGUUCUAGGGAUAAAUUGCACUGCUACCUCCUGAACUUUUGGCAAGUUUUACUUAACCCCCAAACUCCUAAAAUAGAUAUUUAACACUCUAAACUCUAAUAUUUCAUUCGUUUUAUUCUUUCCGUCAGUUUUCAAUUAACGGAGCUUGACGAAAAACUGACGGAAGGGGUAACAUGAAUGAAAUAUUAGAGUUUAGGGGGUUAGAUGUCCAUUUUAGGAGUUCAAGGGGUAAAGUGAAAUUUCGCCAAAAGUUCAGGGGGUAACAAUG